CAGCCAAUUAUCCACAGAGAGACAAUGCCCACGUGAACAAAGCAAAGAUUUGAUAGAUUCCUGAAGAUUGAAGUUUGUCGGGGCACUAUCUCUCGCUCUUAUCCAUCGCCUAGAGGGACACGCAUGCAUCCCUACUACAUAUAAAAUAAGAGGUGCAUUCUCCCGGAAGCCAUCCAGAGAGAUGCUCUCUCGCCUAUAAAAGGAGACACUUGUUGCGAAGAGAAAAAUAACGCCAGACGGAGAAGAGCCACCAGCCACCGAUAGAGCAAAGAGUUGCGACCCAGCUAGCAAACUCGUUGCUCAGUAGUAGUUUUCCUCCUGCAAUAAGAGCCACCAUAUCCAGAGCAUUGUAAGGCUCAAGAAGGUAGUUAGAAGGCAUGAAGAAGUGCAUCGCUGGCAAGCGAAGAAGAAAAGAAGAGCCAACCAAUUAUCCACAGAGGGACAAUGCCCACGUGAACAAAGCAAAGAUUUGAUAGAUUCCUGAAGAUUGAAGUUUGUCGGGGCACUAUCUCUCGCUCUUAUCCAUCGCCUAGAGGGACACGCAUGCAUCCCUACUACAUAUAAAAUAAGAGGUGCAUUCUCCCGGAAGCCAUCCAAAGAGCUGCUCUCUCGCCUAUAAAAGGAGACACUUGCUGCGAAGAGAAAAAGGACACCAGACGGAGAAGAGCCACUAGCCACCGGUAGAGCAAAGAGUUGCGACCCAGCUAGCAAGCUCGUUGCUCAGUAGUAGUAGUAGUAGUAGUAGUUUUCCUCCUUCAAUAAGAGACACCAUAUCCAGAGCAUUGUAAGGCUCAAGAAGGUAGUUAGAAGGUAAUUUUCUUUAGUUUGUGUAAUCCCUUCGGGGCCUCCCGAAAGGGAAAGCCAUAUGUAAAUUAUGUUGUGGAAAUCAUGUAGUUUCUUGGUUUCA
Molecule: long non-coding RNA, 907 nt
Organism: Triticum aestivum (bread wheat)
Lineage: Eukaryota; Viridiplantae; Streptophyta; Magnoliopsida; Poales; Poaceae
Exons: 2
Source: RefSeq, a predicted model, not a curated record